UAUUAUUAUUACCACCCUGAGCACACCUGAUCUUGUUUGAUCUCAGAAGCUAAGCAGGGUUGGGCUUUGUUAGUACUUGCAUGGGAGACUUCCUGGGAAUACCAGGUGCUAUAAGCU
Ribosomal RNA from Astatotilapia calliptera (eastern happy), 117 nucleotides. NCBI's taxonomy places the organism in Eukaryota, Metazoa, Chordata, Actinopteri, Cichliformes, Cichlidae. The record is from Ensembl.